GUAGAUCCAGUGCACAGAAAUCUUAUUCUUAAAAUCUGGAAGCCUGGCCAGUCUCAAACAGUAAGACAGCAUGGAAAAUAUUAACUUUAAAAAGUCAAUGAUUGCUUCAUUGCUUAUGGGUGCUGUGAACCAAGAUGCCAGCAUUGUGGUGCAAGUAAAUCCAAAUUUGACAGCCAUGCAGCUUGUCAGGAACACAAAUUCACUUGUGAAUAAAUUCUGUUGAAAAGCAUACAAAGAAUUCCAUCAAGACAAGCCAAGUUGUCAGAUGUCUUCAUUAUUUUCAGGACACUUCUGAUGUAAAAGAUGAGUAAAGGAUGAGUCUAAGAAAUGGUGCUGUAUUUGAUUAUAUUUUUUCAGAACUUUUCAGGAAUCCAGGAUGAAACAGAAAGCGAUAGCUGACCAUUUAUUAGCAAUUUUUCCCAUUGGUAAAAAACCUGUAGGGAAGAUCAUGAAUGUUAACAUAUUCGGUACUCUGGAAUAAAAAUGGUCAAACCUAUUCAAUGUCUAAGCAGGAUAUCCCCACUUAGUUCUUGCCACAAGGUAGUAGCAUAGCUUUUCCCUUCAGUCAUUUAAGCCAGAUUUAGAACAAUCUAUUUGUAGAAAACGGAAUUUAAAUUUGGUUAAUUCCCUCAAAUCCUUGCACUGACCACACUCAUGAAAACUGGCUACCCAAAGAAAUUAAACACUGACGUUCUUUAACUUCUCCCUGCAUAUGUUGCUGCCUCACAGAAAACUGUCAAACAUCUUAAGUCAUUAUUUUAUCCAUUACAGUGAACAAAGAACUGAUGAUCAGAAUGGCCAUCUCUGCAUCUAUUCUGACUACCAGUGCUGAAGUGGCCUUUGGAGAUCUCUGGAAAGCUGCACUGGACAACACUUUACUGGAGAAGAAUAACCAUAUCUGGUGUUAUUUUCCAGCAGAAUUCGUUUUGUUGAGGACACAAAACAAAAGCCUUUCUGUCACUGGACAUGCCAUUCGCCUGUGCUGCAGCCAGCCUUUGGCCUUCCAGAUUUGCUGAGUGUGCUCCAAGGGACUGCAGCAGUGCUUUGCUGCUAACUCUUGCCCUGCUUCCCGGAGAGCCAUUGUGCUGCACUGUGAGCAGGCAGGAUACUCGCCCCAGAGUGAGCAGCGAUGGAGGGACUGACACCGAAACCGCUGGAGACGUUACAGCAUCAUUCCCACAAGCAGCCUUUCAUUGGCAUCUGUGUCCCACAUUCUGCCCUCUCCCUUUCUGGUACCUGAGACUUCAGGUGCAUUAA
This 1257-nucleotide long non-coding RNA is filed under the name Anser brachyrhynchus (Pink-footed goose). RNAcentral describes it as "lncRNA (ENSABRG00000000884.1)". The record is from RNAcentral. Lineage: Eukaryota; Metazoa; Chordata; Aves; Anseriformes; Anatidae.